This 175-nucleotide ribosomal RNA is filed under the name uncultured bacterium. RNAcentral describes it as "partial 16S ribosomal RNA". It matches the Rfam family "Bacterial small subunit ribosomal RNA", at positions 1318 to 1500 of the family's 1533-position model. The record is from RNAcentral.
CCAUGAAGCUGGAUUCGCUAGUAAUCGCGCAUCAGCCACGGCGCGGUGAAUACGUUCCCGGGCCUUGUACACACCGCCCGUCAAGCCAUGGAAGCCGGGGGUGCCUGAAGUGCGCUGCCGCGAGGAGCGCCCUAGGGUAAAACCGGUGACUGGGGCUAAGUCGUAACAAGGUAGC